GGCGAUAAAGCAGAGGGUGUUUUAGGGCGUGGCUAUGAUGUGAUUGACAGUUCGCGGCCUGUCAAUCAUGACAAGAGGUUUAGCAAAGCUUAUCCAAGGCACGUCAACUUCAUUUUGGAGUUUGACCAGCUUUCUUCGUAGUGACUGUAAAACUUUGGUUGCCUAAUAAUGACUUGUUCAGCGUUCGGUUGGACGACAAGACACUCAAAGGACUCGGCAGUUCCGUUUUUCUGCUGCCAUUGGAACCUGACUCCUGCUACCGCUUCACUCCUGCCAUCCACCGGAAAAGUCUUUUUGUUGCACCUUAAGUUUCAGAUUUGACGUCAUUUUACCCUAGAAAUAUGGGACUUUUACUUCCUAAAAUCUCUAAAUUUAUACCGUUUUAAUUGCUUGAUUUUAAAUAUGGGUGCAGUCAGAGGUGUCCCCUGACAAAAAUCAUUGUCUGAAAUUAUUAAUUGUUAAUGUUGUAUUCUUGUAAAACUCAAAAUAUACAUUCCUUUCACAAUGUACUUAUUUGUUUUGUAUAAAGGGCAGGCACAGGUUACAUAUAUUUUACUUAAGGUGAAUAUAAUCCAUUAAUCUAGUUUUUAAAUGUACGUUGUAUUAACACCUUAUUUUGAAAACCGGAAGUAGUCCCAUGUGUAUCAUCUCCCUAACUUCGCUACUUGAUCUGGGCCGUUUGAAUGCAUUUCCACGCGUACCGUUAUAAGAGCGCAUUACAAAUUUAGUGUCGGCUGAUUUGACCACGGAGAUCCGAGUGUCGGCUGGCUUGACCGUAGUCCACUAGCCGGCCUGCUAUCUUCCUCUGACGGACCCGCUCCUUCCCAGAAACCACCGACCCGUUCUCCAUCCUGGAAACUUUGACGUGCUUUUCCCCCCUCAGAAACCUGGACUUGAUACUUUAAAUAAAACCUGUUAAUUCACA
This is a long non-coding RNA of Perca flavescens (yellow perch), 925 nucleotides long. RefSeq lists it as uncharacterized. Lineage: Eukaryota; Metazoa; Chordata; Actinopteri; Perciformes; Percidae. The transcript has 2 exons. The record is from RefSeq and is a predicted model, not a curated record.